GCCCUGCAUGGUCAUUGUCCAACAGACCUAGACGCUGGUGUAAGUGGUUGUCCGAGGAGGAAGAGUAAAACUGAAACGGGCCUGAGUGCUUGUGUGACACACCAGCUCGUCUCAAACGCAC
RNAcentral lists this small nucleolar RNA (121 nucleotides) under Echinops telfairi (small Madagascar hedgehog). Its description in RNAcentral is "Small nucleolar RNA SNORA61 (ENSETEG00000026179.1)". Lineage: Eukaryota; Metazoa; Chordata; Mammalia; Afrosoricida; Tenrecidae. The record is from RNAcentral.